GAAGCCAGGGAGGCCUUGAAUGAGCAGAAUGGGAU
Molecule: transfer RNA, 35 nt
Filed under: Amolops spinapectoralis
Lineage: Eukaryota; Metazoa; Chordata; Amphibia; Anura; Ranidae
Description: partial tRNA-Arg
Source: RNAcentral